Molecule: ribosomal RNA, 253 nt
Filed under: uncultured bacterium
Lineage: Bacteria
Description: partial 16S ribosomal RNA
Rfam family: Bacterial small subunit ribosomal RNA
Source: RNAcentral
UACGUAGGUGACCAGCGUUGUCCGGAUUUACUGGGCGUAAAGAGCGCGCAGGCGGUCGUUCAAGUCGAGUGUGAAAGCCCCCGGCUCAACUGGGGAGGGUCAUUCGAUACUGAUCGACUUGAAGGCAGGAGAGGGAAGUGGAAUUCCCGGUGUAGUGGUGAAAUGCGUAGAUAUCGGGAGGAACACCAGUGGCGAAGGCGACUUCCUGGCCUGUUCUUGACGCUGAGGCGCGAAAGCUAGGGGAGCAAACGGG